UGAGUGCUUGCACUUGGAUGGACUGAGUGGCGGACGGGUGAGUAACGCGUGGGUAACCUGCCUUAUACAGGGGGAUAACAGUUGGAAACGACUGCUAAUACCGCAUAAGCGCACGGUACCGCAUGGUACAGUGUGAAAAACUCCGGUGGUGUGAGAUGGAUCCGCGUCUGAUUAGCCAGUUGGCGGGGUAACGGCCCACCAAAGCGACGAUCAGUAGCCGACCUGAGAGGGUGAUCGGCCACAUUGGGACUGAGACACGGCCCAGACUCC
This 270-nucleotide ribosomal RNA is filed under the name uncultured Lachnospiraceae bacterium. Its description in RNAcentral is "partial 16S ribosomal RNA". It matches the Rfam family "Bacterial small subunit ribosomal RNA", at positions 73 to 339 of the family's 1533-position model. The record is from RNAcentral. Lineage: Bacteria; Bacillati; Bacillota; Clostridia; Lachnospirales; Lachnospiraceae.